UUCAAGGUCCUGUGAAUGUAGAAAUUUUCUUGAUCCUCUACAGAGAAAGCCGUUCUCCAGUGGGGUGUCAACAUUGGGAUGGACUUUGAAGGAAUUAGAAAAGCUAGUUCUAUCCUCCAAGCAUUUACAUUCAACUCGGAGAAGAAACGCGGAGGUGUUGCAUUGAAGCUGCCAGAAGUUUGCGUUGUGUUGCGAUUGCAUACAGACCUGAAAAUUUCGAAAACAUCCCACAUGUUGAGGAGAAAGUGUCUACUGCGUUGUGUUGCUAGCCACUGUUGGCCUG
Impatiens glandulifera is the source of this 283-nucleotide long non-coding RNA. RefSeq lists it as uncharacterized. Lineage: Eukaryota; Viridiplantae; Streptophyta; Magnoliopsida; Ericales; Balsaminaceae. The transcript has 3 exons. The record is from RefSeq and is a predicted model, not a curated record.